RNAcentral lists this ribosomal RNA (400 nucleotides) under uncultured bacterium. Its description in RNAcentral is "bacterial SSU rRNA". It matches the Rfam family "Bacterial small subunit ribosomal RNA", at positions 976 to 1380 of the family's 1533-position model. The record is from RNAcentral.
UACCCUUGACAUGUCGCAAACUUUCCAGAGAUGGAUUGGUGCCCGAAAGGGAAUGCGAACACAGGUGCUGCAUGGCUGUCGUCAGCUCGUGUCGUGAGAUGUUGGGUUAAGUCCCGCAACGAGCGCAACCCUUAUCAUUAGUUGCUACGCAAGGGCACUCUAAUGAGACUGCCGGUGACAAACCGGAGGAAGGUGGGGAUGACGUCAAGUCCUCAUGGCCCUUAUGGGUAGGGCUUCACACGUCAUACAAUGGUCGGUACAGAGGGUUGCCAAGCCGCGAGGUGGAGCCAAUCCCACAAAGCCGAUCGUAGUCCGGAUUGUUCUCUGCAACUCGAGAGCAUGAAGUCGGAAUCGCUAGUAAUCGCAGGUCAGCAUACUGCGGUGAAUACGUUCCCGGGUC